UACGUAGGGUGCAAGCGUUAAUCGGAAUUACUGGGCGUAAAGCGUGCGCAGGCGGUUGUGCAAGACAGAUGUGAAAUCCCCGGGCUUAACCUGGGAAUUGCAUUUGUGACUGCACGGCUAGAGUGUGUCAGAGGGGGGUAGAAUUCCACGUGUAGCAGUGAAAUGCGUAGAGAUGUGGAGGAAUACCGAUGGCGAAGGCAGCCCCCUGGGACACACUGACGCUCAUGCACGAAAGCGUGGGGAGCAAACAGG
RNAcentral lists this ribosomal RNA (252 nucleotides) under uncultured bacterium. RNAcentral's name for it is "partial 16S ribosomal RNA". It matches the Rfam family "Bacterial small subunit ribosomal RNA", at positions 524 to 776 of the family's 1533-position model. The record is from RNAcentral.